RNAcentral lists this ribosomal RNA (497 nucleotides) under uncultured bacterium. RNAcentral describes it as "partial 16S ribosomal RNA". It matches the Rfam family "Bacterial small subunit ribosomal RNA", at positions 28 to 507 of the family's 1533-position model. The record is from RNAcentral.
GAUGAACGCUGGCGGCGUGCCUAAUACAUGCAAGUCGAGCGAACAGACGAGGAGCUUGCUCCUCUGACGUUAGCGGCGGACGGGAGAGUAACACGUGGAUAACCUACCUAUAAGACUGGGAUAACUUCGGGAAACCGGAGCUAAUACCGGAUAAUAUAUUGAACCGCAUGGUUCAAUAGUGAAAGACGGUUUUGCUGUCACUAAUAGAUGGAUCCGCGCCGCAUUAGCUAGUUGGUAAGGUAACGGCUUACCAAGGCAACGAUGCGUAGCCGACCUGAGAGGGUGAUCCGCCACACUGGAACUGAGACACGGUCCAGACUCCUACGGGAGGCAGCAGUAGGGAAUCUUCCGCAAUGGGCGAAAGCCUGACGGAGCAACGCCGCGUGAGUGAUGAAGGUCUUCGGAUCGUAAAGCUCUGUUAUUAGGGAAGAACAAAUGUGUAAGUAACUAUGCACGUCUUGACGGUACCUAAUCAGAAAGCCCCGGCUAACUACGUG